This 81-nucleotide transfer RNA is filed under the name Alosa alosa (allis shad). Its description in RNAcentral is "tRNA-OTHER". The stretch from base 1 to 59 matches the Rfam family "tRNA". Rfam says of the family: Transfer RNA (tRNA) molecules are approximately 80 nucleotides in length. The record is from RNAcentral. Lineage: Eukaryota; Metazoa; Chordata; Actinopteri; Clupeiformes; Clupeidae.
GCUGUGAUGGCCGAGUGGUUAAGGCGUUGGACUUGAAAUCCAAUGGGUCUUUCACAAGAGGUUCGAACCCCUGCUCGCGCA